This is a long non-coding RNA of Eptesicus fuscus (big brown bat), 576 nucleotides long. RefSeq lists it as uncharacterized. NCBI's taxonomy places the organism in Eukaryota, Metazoa, Chordata, Mammalia, Chiroptera, Vespertilionidae. The record is from RefSeq and is a predicted model, not a curated record. The transcript has 4 exons.
GUCUUCGGACCACCGAACCUCCCGACUUCCGCCCGGAGCGCUGACCCCGCCCCGCCCCCGGAAGCCGCCCCGCCCCUACCGCUCCCUUCCGGGCUCGGCUGGCUGGUGGUUCUGCGAGGAGCAGGCGAGUGUCUGGAUGGUAAUGAAGUUUAAUUAAAGGGCUUCUAGUGCUAAAUCACCACGGCAACAUCCCCAUCAAGAGAUCCUCGGGCCACGGUUGGCCACAUUUACUGCCAGAAAUGAAGCACUAGGAAUGCAAAUGGAAGACAGGCUGGAUUCGACAGAAAGGAGGAACCAGAGACCAGAAGAAGGCACUAUUUGGAAGUGUGUUUGUAACACGAUGGUCACCAGCUCUUCUUGUGCCCUCUGUGUCCUGUUCUCUCACAGACUUGUAUACUAAAAGCCAUUGAAUUAUACACUUUAAAUGGAGGCAUUGGAUGCUUCAGGGGCCCAGAGCCAUGCUCAGAAAGAUGUUCACCGUUGCUAAACCCCAAACACCAACCAAAGUUACAACUUUGUUUUGACUCCAAGGCUUACAGCAUUAUGCCAAGGAAAAUAAAUGACUUUUUCCCACUA